CAGUAUAUUUGUAUUACGAGCGGAAAUUGUUACCAUUUUCGGCUCAAAAAUGGUAACAAUUUCCGCACGUAAUACAAAUAUACUGAAAAUAUG
Paramuricea clavata is the source of this 93-nucleotide non-coding RNA. NCBI's taxonomy places the organism in Eukaryota, Metazoa, Cnidaria, Anthozoa, Malacalcyonacea, Plexauridae. The record is from the annotation of a GenBank genome assembly.